This 72-nucleotide transfer RNA is filed under the name Urocitellus parryii (Arctic ground squirrel). Its description in RNAcentral is "Spermophilus parryii (Arctic ground squirrel) tRNA". It matches the Rfam family "tRNA". Rfam says of the family: Transfer RNA (tRNA) molecules are approximately 80 nucleotides in length. Their secondary structure includes four short double-helical elements and three loops (D, anti-codon, and T loops). The record is from Rfam by way of RNAcentral. RNAcentral also lists the same sequence under 1 other name. Lineage: Eukaryota; Metazoa; Chordata; Mammalia; Rodentia; Sciuridae.
AGGGGUAUAGCUCAAUGGUAGAGUCCUUGCCUAGUGUGCAUGAGGCUCUGAGUUUGACCCCCAGUGCCUCUG